This 414-nucleotide ribosomal RNA is filed under the name uncultured bacterium. RNAcentral's name for it is "bacterial SSU rRNA". It matches the Rfam family "Bacterial small subunit ribosomal RNA", at positions 355 to 787 of the family's 1533-position model. The record is from RNAcentral.
UGAGGAAUAUUGGGCAAUGGAGGAAACUCUGACCCAGCCAUGCCGCGUGAGUGAAGAAGGUUUUCGGAUUGUAAAGCUCUUUCGCACGGGACGAUGAUGACGGUACCGUGAUAAGAAGCCCCGGCUAACUUCGUGCCAGCAGCCGCGGUAAUACGAAGGGGCAAGCGUUGUUCGGAAUUACUGGGCGUAAAGGGAGUGUAGGCGGUUAUGUAAGAUAGCGGUGAAAUGCCGGGGCUCAACCUCGGAAUUGCCGUUAUAACUAUGUAACUAGAAUGAUAGAGAGGAUAGCGGAAUACCCAGUGUAGAGGUGAAAUUCGUAGAUAUUGGGUAGAACACCGGUGGCGAAGGCGGCUAUCUGGCUAUAAAUUGACGCUGAGGCUCGAAAGCAUGGGGAUCAAACAGGAUUAGAUACCC